This is a long non-coding RNA of Neodiprion fabricii, 796 nucleotides long. RefSeq lists it as uncharacterized. NCBI's taxonomy places the organism in Eukaryota, Metazoa, Arthropoda, Insecta, Hymenoptera, Diprionidae. The record is from RefSeq and is a predicted model, not a curated record. The transcript is spliced from 8 exons.
AUCAGUGGUCGAAAUAUUCUAUUUAUAAAUGCUCGGGCGAAGAGGUAUAAGGUCGGCGAGUAGAUACAAACGACCUACACUCCCGUCGACCGACCAUCCGGUUGGAAAAAUAAAAUUUACUUCCAUCAUUCAAACGGGUGAAAAAGUAUUUUUUUCAAUUAAUGCCUAGUUUCAUUCGUUGUCUUGACAAAUUUCUCAUACUUUGCCGAUGGAAGGUGAAAGAUUUGUGAUAAGCUAUCAAUUUUCAAUGGAAUCAUUAAUUAAAUGGACGUAUGAUUAAUAUCUAUUAUAAUAAUACACGCCGAUAAUCGCGAGCCUGGAAAACGAAAUGCACGACGUAUCAACGUCCAGUGGAUAAUCAGAAACGAGGACGUAAUCUAACCUACUCGCCACGACGAUGUAUUUGAGGUAUAACCCGAGGUGAUAAGCGGUGGUCGUCGGACGUAGUUGAAGGUGAUCGGAGGUGGUUAGAGAUGGUUGCGGGUGAUCAAGGUGGACGAGGAUUUGUGCUAGGUAUAACACGAGGUGGUUAGCGGUCGUCGUUGGAGGUGGUUUGAGGUGGUUACGGGAUGGUUGCGGGUGAUCGAGGAUUCCAAGUAUAUGACAACAGCGAUACCUUAUCACAUGGACAAUGGCCCACCUCAUAAUCAAGCUUUACAAGUCCUCAUUAAGAUAUUAAAGGCUAUUAAUGAGGAUAGUCCAACGGUGCCCACAUUAUUAACGGACUACAUAUUGAAAGUUCUGUGCCCCACCUACUGAUCCACUGGUACAUAUCCUCCGACAUCUGAAGAGCGUC